UGGGUUUGUCCUAAGUUAAACUUGUCUAACUUUGGCCAAACUUAUACAAAAAUAUAAUAAUAGCUACCAUACCAAAUAAAUUCACUACCAAAAUAUAUUCUAUGCUGGAUUGAAGAAAACCAAUUUGGUAUCAUAGAUCUUAUUAUAUCUUUUAAUAAAUUUGGUCAAAGUUAGAUAAGUUUGACUUAGGACAAACCCAA
RNAcentral lists this microRNA precursor (200 nucleotides) under Setaria italica (foxtail millet). RNAcentral describes it as "MIR1435 microRNA precursor family". It matches the Rfam family "MIR1435 microRNA precursor family". The record is from Rfam by way of RNAcentral. Lineage: Eukaryota; Viridiplantae; Streptophyta; Magnoliopsida; Poales; Poaceae.